AAUUUAUUUGGUCUUGGUUAAAUAAAGAGUUAUUACUAAAACUACCAUAAAAAUAUUAUAUCUUAUAAAAUUUAUUAAAUUAUUUUAAAGGUUAGUGGUGAAUUUUUAUAAAUAAGGGCGAAAACCCGUUUAAGUUAGUAAACCAGAGGAGUAAAUUUAGGUGCCAGCAUCUGCGGUUAUACCUAUCCUCCAUCUUUAUUUUUGGGUUAAAUGCAAUGUAGAUUGUUCAACAAAAGCGACUUUGUAAGGUUAAAUGAUUAAAAGUUACUCAAUCUUAAUUUGUAACAUAAUUUCAUUGCAAAAAUUUUUAUAAAAACUAAGAUUAGGUACCUUAUUAUUAUAAAAAGUAAAUCCUUUGAACCCAGAGGAGUAAUAAAACGAAACUUAAAAGACCUGGCGGUGGAAAUCUUCCUAUCAGAGGGGUGUGCCAAUUAAUAGAUAAUCCGCUAACUAGCUUACUCUAAGUUUUUAGUCAGUGUACGGCCGCUUUCAGGAAAUUUUGUUAGAAUUUAAAAAUUUCCUAUACCUAAAUCUUAAAUAUGUAAGUAUUUAAUAAAGCUUAGUCAAGACAGGUCAAUGUGCUGCUGAUUUUAGAGAAAAUGGUGCGCCAUCAUAAAUGUGAAAAGGGAUUCUAAAAAGAAAUAUUAGGAUGAAUUAAGAUUUGAUAGUAAUGAUAUUAAAGUAUGGUAUCAUGAAGUAGGUAAAGAUCUGCGUACACAUCGCCCGUCGCUCUUCUUAAAAAAGAAGAGAAGUCGUAACAUGGUAGCUCUAAUAGAAAUUGGGGCUAAAGAUUA
This 794-nucleotide non-coding RNA is filed under the name Stylochoplana maculata. Its description in RNAcentral is "12S ribosomal RNA". The stretch from base 365 to 787 matches the Rfam family "Microsporidia small subunit ribosomal RNA", at positions 752 to 1303 of the family's 1311-position model. Lineage: Eukaryota; Metazoa; Platyhelminthes; Polycladida; Leptoplanidae. The record is from RNAcentral.